CCUGCAGUGCCUGACAUGCUGGCCUGCUGCUGUUCAGACACAGUUGUACAUCUGGUGAACUGAGCUGCGCUGCUUCAUCUCUUGAACCCCUUUGGAUUUGAGUCCUUUCUUUGUUCUCUCCAAACCCACAGAAUCAAUGAGGUUAGAAAAGACCUUUGAGAUCAUCAGGUCCAACCUACGACAUAAC
This 187-nucleotide long non-coding RNA is filed under the name Chloebia gouldiae (Gouldian finch). RNAcentral's name for it is "Erythrura gouldiae (Gouldian finch) lncRNA (ENSEGOG00005013444.1)". Lineage: Eukaryota; Metazoa; Chordata; Aves; Passeriformes; Passeridae. The record is from RNAcentral.